AUGACAAUUUUCUUCUCCUCGUUUGCACCCCUACACUUCUUCAGCAAACUGAUGUUGCUGGCCCCUGUGCGAGUGGUACGAGACCACCUGACUGCGGAGAAGUAUUUCGUCUUCAACGAGUGCCAAUUCCGGAUUAACUCCUUCUUGGCCUUACUCAUGGCCGUCCUCGAGCUUUUCUCUUUGCGUUGGCGGUUUCAAGAGAUCAAAAAUAUGGAGCUGCGCCACAACAUCAACGAAUUAAAUGAAAACUCCUCCCACUUCAUCCCUGACAGCAUGUCCAUCUUCGCCGUUGUCAUCUUAUCGCAGAUAACUCUGGCCAUAUCAGGGGUGAUAAAAUCAAAAACCAGUUUCAAGCUCCUUGUCAGCUUCCACGACACCCUGUGUCGAAUCGACAACCAGUUGGAGCGGCCAGCGAAGGGCGGGAAAUUCAAAUACGUGGCCUGCGUCCACCUCAGCCUGCUCGUAGGGCUACUGCUGAUGGAUUAUUCGGUAUGGAAGUUCACGCUUUCCGAGGACGGGGUGUUUUUUUCGCACGCUCUAAGCCGGACCAUGUGCGCCACCAUCUUGGUCCAGUACGAGGACGCUGUUUCUAGUCUCCGAGCUCGUUUCCGGUGCAUCAAUUUUGAGUUACAACGUGAACUGGCUGAUUACUUCCGGGAGGACUGUCUCGAGUUAGCCACCAAGCGCAAAAUCAAGGUCAUGCCAGCGCGUACCCUCUCGCGGCGACGAGUGGGCGACCUGUUCCAGCUGUUCUGGCUCACAUGUCGCGGGGUGCAGCAAGUGAACGAGGUCUACGGGAACCUCAUCUUUGCCCUCUUGGUGAUGACGUCACUCCAACUGAUCAUCAUACCGCACUAUUUUCUGAUCACCAUGUUCAACACCACUGAACCCGUGACGGAGGAGGACAAGAUUUGCGCCGUCGCCGACUCUCUCUGGCUUGGCUUCUUCUGCGUCCAGCUUUUUGUUCUCGUCAUUCCACCUGCCCUCGCGUCUGCUGAGGCUAAUAGAACGGUGGUGAUUGUUUGCAACUAUUUGAACACGAAUACAGAGGAAUACUUUCUGGAAGAGUUGAAGGCGUUUGUCUUCCGUCAGAGUGGCGCAUCUUUUGAAUUUGUCGCAACGAACAUUGUAAAACUCAAGUUACCUUUGCUGACAUCAGUAAUUGGUGUGACGGCAACGUAUUUGCUGGUCUCCAUCCAAAUUCGAAAGGCUGUUUCUGACAUGUAAUAGCUGAUCUCUCCUCGGAAUUCUCACAAAAUUUAUUGAAAGUAAAGCUACUAAAUUAUCCAUAGUAUAAGAAAUUAACUUCGUUCAAAUGAAUAUUGCUGCAAAUAUCCGAAUAAAAAAUUGACUUUUACUGACUCAACUUGACUGUCGAAAGGAAAACAUUGAAAUUCAGCACACGCAGUGCAGAGUAAUAUUUUUGUUGUUCACUGACCUAAAAAAAGUCUAGAUAUUAUGAAUUGACAAUUAGAUACAUGAAAAUAAUUUGCUUCCAGGACUUUAUGUCCACCUACCUUUCGUCCAUUAAAUAAAUGUCCACCAAACGUUAAGUCCAGUCUUUAUUAAGUCCAAAUGAUUUAAUGUCCAACCACGAAUAUGCCUAGAAUUGUCCAAAUUUUGGACAUGUUAUGUCCACAUUUUUUUCUUCUCAUUUAAAUGACAGGAACCACCGAACCACCUCAAAAAUAAAUGCAUACUACGACUACCUUUCAUUCUUAAAAACAUUUCAUUCAUGAAUCAAGUCAUGAAAGAGAACUGACUCCAAGAGCAGAUAAAAGCAUAUGUUCAUGGUAUACACUGUACAAAUAUGAUAAGAUGAAAACCAAAGCGGGAGCCUAGGAAACGCUCCAAUGCCAAAUUAAACAUUUUUCAGUAACAGAUGCAGUCAAAAUUGAAAGUCCUCUUCAACUAGUUAUUUUGUGCGCCUUCAAUC
Molecule: long non-coding RNA, 1936 nt
Filed under: Bemisia tabaci
Lineage: Eukaryota; Metazoa; Arthropoda; Insecta; Hemiptera; Aleyrodidae
Description: lncRNA ENSSSA1UGG001249
Source: RNAcentral